UUUCCGUAGGUGAACCUGCGGAAGGAUCAUUACACGAUUUCGGUUAACACCGUUUUCACCCUUUGUUUAUACGUACCACAUGUUUCCUCGGGGGGCUUGCCUGCCGGUUGGACAUUAUCAAACCUUUUUGUAGUUGCAAUCAGCGUCAGAAACAAAACAAUAAUUACAACUUUCAACAACGGAUCUCUUGGUUCUGGCAUCGAUGAAGAACGCAGC
Molecule: unclassified non-coding RNA, 216 nt
Filed under: uncultured fungus
Lineage: Eukaryota; Fungi
Description: sequence contains ITS1, 5.8S rRNA gene
Rfam family: 5.8S ribosomal RNA (bases 168-216)
Source: RNAcentral